This 288-nucleotide ribosomal RNA is filed under the name uncultured bacterium. RNAcentral describes it as "partial 16S ribosomal RNA". It matches the Rfam family "Bacterial small subunit ribosomal RNA", at positions 775 to 1067 of the family's 1533-position model. The record is from RNAcentral.
GGAUUAGAUACCCUGGUAGUCCGCACUGUAAACGAUGAUUACUCGCUGCUAGAGGGCAACUUUUAGUGGCUUAGCGAAAGCGAUAAGUAAUCCACCUGGGGAGUACGCCGGCAACGGUGAAACUCAAAGGAAUUGACGGGGGCCCGCACAAGCGGAGGAGCAUGUGGUUUAAUUCGAUGAUACGCGAGGAACCUUACCAGGGCUUGAAAGUUAGGGAAUAACUCUGAAAGGAGUUAGUCAGCAAUGACCCGAAACUAGGUGCUGCAUGGCUGUCGUCAGCUCGUGCCG